AUUGAACGCUGGCGGCAGGCCUAACACAUGCAAGUCGAACGGUAGCACAGAGAGCUUGCUCUCGGGUGACGAGUGGCGGACGGGUGAGUAACGUCUGGGAAACUGCCCGAUGGAGGGGGAUAACUACUGGAAACGGUAGCUAAUACCGCAUAACGUCGCAAGACCAAAGUGGGGGACCUUCGGGCCUCACACCAUCGGAUGUGCCCAGAUGGGAUUAGCUAGUAGGUGGGGUAAUGGCUCACCUAGGCGACGAUCCCUAGCUGGUCUGAGAGGAUGACCAGCCACACUGGAACUGAGACACGGUCCAGACUCCUACGGGAGGCAGCAGUGGGGAAUAUUGCACAAUGGGCGCAAGCCUGAUGCAGCCAUGCCGCGUGCAUGAAGAAGGCCUUCGGGUUGUAAAGUACUUUCAGCGGGGAGGAAGGCGGUGAAGUUAAUAACUUCACCGAUUGACGUUACCCGCAGAAGAAGCACCGACUAACUCCGUGCCAGCCGCCGCUGUAA
Molecule: ribosomal RNA, 504 nt
Filed under: uncultured bacterium
Lineage: Bacteria
Description: partial 16S ribosomal RNA
Rfam family: Bacterial small subunit ribosomal RNA
Source: RNAcentral